UUUCCGUAGGUGAACCUGCGGAAGGAUCAUUCAUAAUAAGUGUUUUACUGCACUUUUUAAAAAUAGUACUCACCUUGUGUGCAACGUUGUGUUUCUUUUCGGAGAAACACCUACACCAACCUAUAACCUUGAACCACUUUGUCUGAAAAACUAUUAUGAAUACUUAAUUCAAAAUACAACUUUCAACAACGGAUCUCUUGGCUCUC
RNAcentral lists this unclassified non-coding RNA (206 nucleotides) under plant metagenome. RNAcentral's name for it is "partial contains small subunit ribosomal RNA, internal transcribed spacer 1, and 5.8S ribosomal RNA". The record is from RNAcentral.